CACGCCGUAAACGAUGAAUACUAGGUGUGGGGGGACUGACCCCCUCCGUGCCGGAGUUAACACAAUAAGUAUUCCACCUGGGGAGUACGGCCGCAAGGUUGAAACUCAAAGGAAUUGACGGGGGCCCGCACAAGCAGUGGAUUAUGUGGUUUAAUUCGAAGCAACGCGAAGAACCUUACCAGGGUUUGACAUCCAACUAACGAAGCAGAGAUGCAUGAGGUGCCCUUCGGGGAAAGUGGAGACAGGUGG
RNAcentral lists this ribosomal RNA (249 nucleotides) under uncultured bacterium. RNAcentral's name for it is "partial 16S ribosomal RNA". It matches the Rfam family "Bacterial small subunit ribosomal RNA", at positions 796 to 1041 of the family's 1533-position model. The record is from RNAcentral.